Molecule: ribosomal RNA, 492 nt
Filed under: uncultured bacterium
Lineage: Bacteria
Description: partial 16S ribosomal RNA
Rfam family: Bacterial small subunit ribosomal RNA
Source: RNAcentral
AGUGAACGCUGGCGGUAGGCCUAACACAUGCAAGUCGAACGGCAGCACAGUAAGAGCUUGCUCUUACGGGUGGCGAGUGGCGGACGGGUGAGGAAUACAUCGGAAUCUACUUUUUCGUGGGGGUUAACGUAGGGAAACUUACGCUAGUACCGCAUACGACCUUCGGGUGAAAGCAGGGGAUCUUCGGACCUUGCGCGAUUGAAUGCGCCGAUGUUGGAUUGGUUAGUUGGCGGGGUAAAGGCCCACCAAGGCGACGAUCCGUAGCUGGUCUGAGAGGAGGAUCAGCCACACUGGAACGGGAACACGGUCCAGACUCCUGCGGGAGGCAGCAGUGUGGAAUAUUGGACAAUGGGCGCAAGCCUGAUCCAGCCAUACCGCGUGGGUGAAGAAGGCCUUCGGGUUGUAAAGCCCUUUUGUUGGGAAAGAAAAGCAGCAGGUUAAUACCCCGCUGUUCUGACGGUACCCAAAGAAUAAGCACCGGCUAACUUCGUG